RNAcentral lists this ribosomal RNA (253 nucleotides) under uncultured bacterium. RNAcentral describes it as "partial 16S ribosomal RNA". It matches the Rfam family "Bacterial small subunit ribosomal RNA", at positions 524 to 776 of the family's 1533-position model. The record is from RNAcentral.
UACGUAGGGUGCGAGCGUUGCCCGGAUUUAUUGGGCGUAAAGGGCGCGUAGGCGGCCACGCACGUCCGUUGUGAAAUCGCUCGGCUCAACUGGGCGGGGUCAGCGGAUACGGAGUGGCUGGAGCAAGCUAGGGGGCAAUGGAAUUCCCGGUGUAGUGGUGGAAUGCGUAGAUAUCGGGAGGAACACCAGUGGCGAAGGCGGUUGCCUGGAGCUUUGCUGACGCUGAUGCGCGAAAGCGUGGGGAGCAAACAGG